RNAcentral lists this unclassified non-coding RNA (335 nucleotides) under soil metagenome. Its description in RNAcentral is "partial contains 5.8S ribosomal RNA, internal transcribed spacer 2, and large subunit ribosomal RNA". The stretch from base 1 to 120 matches the Rfam family "5.8S ribosomal RNA", at positions 35 to 154 of the family's 154-position model. The record is from RNAcentral.
GAUGAAGAACGCAGCGAAAUGCGAUAAGUAGUGUGAAUUGCAGAAUUCAGUGAAUCAUCGAAUCUUUGAACGCACAUUGCGCCCCUUGGUAUUCCAUGGGGCAUGCCUGUUCGAGCGUCAUUUGUACCCUCAAGCUCUGCUUGGUGUUGGGUGUUUGUCCCGCUUUGCGCGUGGACUCGCCUUAAAGCAAUUGGCAGCCGGCAUAUUGUCUCGGAGCGCAGCACAUUUUGCGCUUCUUGCCCUCAUGUUGGUAUCCAGUAAGCCUUUACAUUUGCUCUUGACCUCGGAUCAGGUAGGGAUACCCGCUGAACUUAAGCAUAUCAAUAAGCGGAGGA